GAUGAAGAACGUAGCGAAAUGCGAUAACUAAUGUGAAUUGCAGAAUUCCGUGAAUCAUCGAGUUUUUGAACGCACAUUGCGCCCCCUGGUAUUCCGGGGGGCAUGCCUGUCCGAGCGUCAUUGCUGCCCAUCAAGCACGGCUUGUGUGUUGGGUCCUCGUCCCCCCCGGGGGACGUGCCCGAAAGGCAGCGGCGGCACCGCGUCCGGUCCUCGAGCGUAUGGGGCUUUGUCACCCGCUCUGCAGGCCCGGCCGGCGCUGGCCGACGCGAAAGCAACCAUUUUUUCUCCAGGUUGACCUCGGAUCAGGUAGGGAUACCCGCUGAACUUAAGCAUAUCAAUAAGCGGAGGA
Molecule: unclassified non-coding RNA, 349 nt
Filed under: soil metagenome
Description: partial contains 5.8S ribosomal RNA, internal transcribed spacer 2, and large subunit ribosomal RNA
Rfam family: 5.8S ribosomal RNA (bases 1-120)
Source: RNAcentral